This 478-nucleotide ribosomal RNA is filed under the name uncultured bacterium. RNAcentral describes it as "partial 16S ribosomal RNA". It matches the Rfam family "Bacterial small subunit ribosomal RNA", at positions 28 to 523 of the family's 1533-position model. The record is from RNAcentral.
GACGAACGCUGGCGGCGUGCUUAACACAUGCAAGUCGAACGGUAAGGCCCUUCGGGGUACACGAGUGGCGAACGGGUGAGUAACACGUGGGUGAUCUGCCCUGCACUUCGGGAUAAGCCUGGAAAACUGGGUCUAAUACCGGAUAGGACCACUGCCUGCAUGGGGGGUGGUGGAAAGCUUUUGCGGUGUGGGAUGGGCCCGCGGCCUAUCAGCUUGUUGGUGGGGUGAUGGCCUACCAAGGCGACGACGGGUAGCCGGCCUGAGAGGGUGACCGGCCACACUGGGACUGAGAUACGGCCCAGACUCCUACGGGAGGCAGCAGUGGGGAAUAUUGCACAAUGGGCGCAAGCCUGAUGCAGCGACGCCGCGUGAGGGAUGACGGCCUUCGGGUUGUAAACCUCUUUCAGCACCGACGAAGCGCAAGUGACGGUAGGUGCAGAAGAAGGACCGGCCAACUACGUGCCAGCAGCCGCGGUAA